Molecule: long non-coding RNA, 465 nt
Filed under: Scleropages formosus (Asian bonytongue)
Lineage: Eukaryota; Metazoa; Chordata; Actinopteri; Osteoglossiformes; Osteoglossidae
Description: lncRNA (ENSSFOG00015030536.1)
Source: RNAcentral
AUAAUCAUGCUGCGACUUAUAUACUUCUGAACUGAACAACUGGAGACCGCUAUUAUUAUCAAGAUGUAGCGCCAGCAGGUCUGCGGCUCCUUAUGCCGCCCGUGAACCCUACAGACUCACCCGUGAGAAGAAGCGCAGAUCAAAUGCGGCAUGUGUCAAGGGGGGACGCGGUGGUGCAGCAGGCUUGGCUGGGCCCUGCUCCCUGGUGGGUCUGGGGCUCGACUCCCGCUUGGGGUGCCCUGAGACGAACUGGCGUCCCACCCUGGCCCACACACCCUGAGCCGGCCCUGCAUCCUCAGACAUCGCCACUGUCGCCAGUUCUCUUUACACUCUUCAGUGUUUGCUCCUCUUGUCUUCACACCGGGUAUGGCCAACCGGCAUCUGCAGCACGGCAAGGGAUCGCCUAAUCCCCGACAAUGCCUUUGUUUUUUGUUUACAUUCUAAUAAAUAUUAUUAAGUAUUUCA